Long non-coding RNA from Xiphophorus maculatus (southern platyfish), 925 nucleotides. RefSeq lists it as uncharacterized. NCBI's taxonomy places the organism in Eukaryota, Metazoa, Chordata, Actinopteri, Cyprinodontiformes, Poeciliidae. The transcript is spliced from 3 exons. The record is from RefSeq and is a predicted model, not a curated record.
UGCAUCAAACAGGAGAACACCUGCGUCAAGACGUGUGCUGGAACUCGGAGACGCAGAUCUGUCCGGUCCCAGUCUGGAGCUGCUGCCUUCAUCAGCAUGGCUUGGACUGCCUAGGUGAAGGACCUCAAACUCCAUGAAGAUCCAGUCUGUGGACCGGUUCUGAUCCAGACCCGGGUGUUAUGAGGAAAUCUCUGACACAUAGCGGUUCUACUGCUGAGCGUUUCUUUGUUUUAAUCAAAUGUGGUGAAGGGAAGUGAGUGAAACACUAAACUAAUCAGAGUUUAUAGUUGGUCUUCAAUGAAAGAAGCUUUUUGAUUCUCACCUUGUCUGAGCUCAACACAUUGUAGAUGUGAAACAUCCCAUAAUGCACAGAGGAAAACAGAGAGCAGAAUGAGGCUGCAGUGGUUCACAGUGAGCUUCAAUGUUUCAGUCAGCUCUACAAUCAGGAGGAAUUUGAUUUCAUUUCUAGUCUCAAUGAUCAGUAAAGGUUUAGCAGGGAUUGGUGGCUGUUACUGAGCCGUUUUUCUUCUUCUGAAGCUGAAAUUUACAGAAACUCCAACAUGACGUUUGUAGGUUGAUGUCAGUUUUUAACAUCUAUAAAAUUAUUAUCAAGUUGAGUUUUCAAUUCAGAAAGUUAAAGCAGAGUUUUAACUCUUACAAAUGUAAAACUGGAGCACUUCCCCCUCUUGUGGCUACAAUUUGUAUUACAUACAAGCUUUAACUGGUCAUUUGUUUUAAUUCUUCUAAACUUAGACAGAAUAAAAGCCAUUUGAGGUCAAAUAAAUGAUUUUUUUCCAUUCUGCUUUCGGCCUUUUGUAGUUUUUCUUCAGUCUUUGGAUGGAUUGUUGUUGUUUCUUGUUUGGUUUUCAUGUUGGACAUCUGAUGUGCGGCGGCGACAUGAAGAUCAGCACUUUUGAUUUCUAAU